This is a long non-coding RNA of Alosa alosa (allis shad), 564 nucleotides long. RefSeq lists it as uncharacterized. The transcript is spliced from 3 exons. The record is from RefSeq and is a predicted model, not a curated record. NCBI's taxonomy places the organism in Eukaryota, Metazoa, Chordata, Actinopteri, Clupeiformes, Clupeidae.
AGGAUUGAGCAUGGUUACGAACCCACACUCUAUCUCUGGGUUGGUAAGUUACAUCUCUUCUUUUUUUAUUAUAAUUUCUCAGCUGUCUAGCUUUUGCCUUUUUGCUGCUGAGGUGUGCCUUUAUUUGUAGGUUUUUGAUGUGCUGCACCACUUCAUAGCCAGCGGAAUCAGGUGAUAGGGCUUGUCCCUGUACAAGUUUAUCCACAGGACUUCUGAGUUUUCGCCCCAAGUGAAGCUCCGCAGCUGUCAAGCCUGUUGUUUCAUGUACGGAGGAGUUUAGUGCAAAUCUGAAUUCAGGAAGAGUUCUGUAAACAAGUUGGAGACAAAUUGUGAGCCUCUGUCCGAUAGAAGAAAGUCUGGAACUCCCCAGCGUGUGAGAAUUUCUUUUUGAAACAGCUUUGCAAUUACUGGUGCAGUAGCAGCACGCAUGGGAAAUAAUUCCACCCAGCGGGUGUAGUAAUCCACAAAUACUAGUCUGACAUUUCAAACAGGAUCGGAUGAAGUUCUUGACGUCGUCCCACAUUUUUGGCCAGAAAACUACGUCAUGGAGACGUUUGUAUGUUU